Molecule: ribosomal RNA, 405 nt
Filed under: uncultured Glomus
Lineage: Eukaryota; Fungi; Glomeromycota; Glomeromycetes; Glomerales; Glomeraceae
Description: SSU rRNA
Rfam family: Eukaryotic small subunit ribosomal RNA
Source: RNAcentral
AGCAGCCGCGGUAAUUCCAGCUCCAAUAGCGUAUAUUAAAGUUGUUGCAGUUAAAAAGCUCGUAGUUGAAUUUCGGGGUCAAUAAGUUGGUCGUGCCAAUGGUAUGUACUGGCUUUAUUGAUUCCUACCUCUUGACGAACUGUGAUGCCAUUAAUUUGGUGUUGCAGGAAAUCAGGACUGUUACCUUGAAAAAUUAGAGUGUUUAAAGCAGGCUUACGCUUGAAUACAUUAGCAUGGAAUAAUGAAAUAGGACGUUUGAACCUAUUUUGUUGGUUUCUAGGAUCGACGUAAUGAUUAAUAGGGAUAGUUGGGGGCAUUAGUAUUCAAUUGUCAGAGGUGAAAUUCUUGGAUUUAUUGAAGACUAACUACUGACGAAAGCAUUUGCCAAGGAUGUUUUCAUUAAUC